RNAcentral lists this ribosomal RNA (485 nucleotides) under uncultured bacterium. RNAcentral's name for it is "bacterial SSU rRNA". It matches the Rfam family "Bacterial small subunit ribosomal RNA", at positions 28 to 507 of the family's 1533-position model. The record is from RNAcentral.
GAUGAACGCUAGCGGCAGGCCUAACACAUGCAAGUCAGGGGUAACAUAGGAAAGCUUGCUUUUCUGAUGACGACCGGCGCACGGGUGCGUAACGCGUAUACAACCUACCUUUUAGCGGGGAAUAGCCCAGGGAAACUUGGAUUAAUGCCCCAUAGUAUAUAGACUUCUCCUGAAGUUUAUAUUAAACAUUUAUGGCUAUUAGAUGGGUAUGCGUCCUAUUAGUUAGUUGGUAAGGUAACGGCUUACCAAGGCAGCGAUAGGUAGGGGUCCUGAGAGGGAGAUCCCCACACUGGUACUGAGACACGGACCAGACUCCUACGGGAGGCAGCAGUGAGGAAUAUUGGACAAUGGGCGAGAGCCUGAUCCAGCCAUGCCGCGUGCAGGAAGACUGCCCUAUGGGUUAUAAACUGCUUUUACAGAGGAAGAACCACCCCACGUGUGGGGGUUUGACGGUACUCUGCGAAUAAGGAUCGGCUAACUCCGUG